UACGUAGGUGGCAAGCGUUGUCCGGAAUUAUUGGGCGUAAAGCGCACGUAGGCGGUUCGUUAAGUCAGAUGUGAAAGCCCCCGGCUCAACCGGGGAAGUGCAUCUGAAACUGGCGAGCUAGAGUACGAAAGAGGGUCGCGGAAUUCCCGGUGUAGAGGUGAAAUUCGUAGAUAUCGGGAGGAACACCGGUGGCGAAGGCGGCGACCUGGGUCGAUACUGACGCUGAGGUGCGAAAGCGUGGGGAGCAAACAGG
This 253-nucleotide ribosomal RNA is filed under the name uncultured bacterium. RNAcentral describes it as "partial 16S ribosomal RNA". It matches the Rfam family "Bacterial small subunit ribosomal RNA", at positions 524 to 776 of the family's 1533-position model. The record is from RNAcentral.